RNAcentral lists this ribosomal RNA (492 nucleotides) under uncultured bacterium. RNAcentral's name for it is "partial 16S ribosomal RNA". It matches the Rfam family "Bacterial small subunit ribosomal RNA", at positions 29 to 507 of the family's 1533-position model. The record is from RNAcentral.
AGUGAACGCUGGCGGUAGGCCUAACACAUGCAAGUCGAACGGCAGCACAGUAAGAGCUUGCUCUUACGGGUGGCGAGUGGCGGACGGGUGAGGAAUACAUCGGAAUCUACUUUUUCGUGGGGGAUAACGUAGGGAAACUUACGCUAAUACCGCAUACGACCUACGGGUGAAAGCAGGGGAUCUUCGGACCUUGCGCGAUUGAAUGAGCCGAUGUCGGAUUAGCUAGUUGGCGGGGUAAAGGCCCACCAAGGCGACGAUCCGUAGCUGGUCUGAGAGGAUGAUCAGCCACACUGGAACUGAGACACGGUCCAGACUCCUACGGGAGGCAGCAGUGGGGAAUAUUGGACAAUGGGCGCAAGCCUGAUCCAGCCAUACCGCGUGGGUGAAGAAGGCCUUCGGGUUGUAAAGCCCUUUUGUAAGGAAAGAAAAGCAGCAGGUUAAUACCCCGCUGUUCUGACGGUACCCAAAGAAUAAGCACCGGCUAACUUCGUG